UUUGAAUGAUGAAAAUUAUAUACUGAUAAAGGGCCAAAAGUUUAAUUUGUUUCUUUGAAAAAGUUAAACUUUUAAUUAUAUGAUGGCUUAAUCUUCUCACUGACAAAU
This is a small nucleolar RNA of Plasmodium gallinaceum, 108 nucleotides long. RefSeq annotates it as small nucleolar RNA snoR14. The record is from RefSeq and is a predicted model, not a curated record. The transcript has a single exon. Lineage: Eukaryota; Apicomplexa; Aconoidasida; Haemosporida; Plasmodiidae.